GUCACCUGUGUCUCCAGCACCCACCCAGGAGCCACUUCCUGCCAGGCUGAGUCACUUCACUGUGGCUAGGUCAGCUGUCUUACCUCUGCCACCCGGCCCACCAAGGCCACAGCUGCACUGGGUUCAGUGCAGGGUGGGGGAGGGGUCCCUUCAUGUCUGUGUCAUGGCUGUUGUCCGAGCACUAAAGCAGCACUGCUUGUCUAUCAGAGUGAACAAGCCCCCAGGCCCUGCUCCCUAGCCCCCUGGGGUUUAGGCGUAGGUCGCGGGAACCAGAGGUCGCUGAUGGAGCUGGACCGUGUCAUCCAGUCAGCCUUCCUGUGGGGGGCGCCCAUUCUGUUUCCUCUCUCUUCCUGGUUAUCCGCUUCUGCUUAUGGUCAUCCAUAAACAGCCCUGUUCUGAUCCUGCCUGAAACUGCAAGGCCCUCUCGGCUUCUGUCCCCACCACACGCCCCACCCUGAGCUGUGUGUGUCCUCACUUGGCUCACUCAGCAUUUCCUGAGCUGGCUGCCUGCUUUCACCUCCUGGGCCUGGCUUGCCCUUCUCUCCGUCUGCCUGCGAGUCCCUGAUGGCCCAGGGGAGCUGAUCACACCCCACCAGCCCUGCCUGCUCCUGUGCACUUAACAUCCAGUGUUGUCACGGAUUAUUUAUGCUUCUAAUUCGUCUAUUCCUGAAGACAAAGACAGGCUCUCUCGGUAUUGGCCUCCUUGUCUAGCACAGACUCUUACAGAAUGCAGGCUGCAACAUUUAAAUAUUUGUUGAAUACAUGGAGGCUAUGAGCUUCGUUAGGAAAGUAGUCUCUUCGAGUGCUUAAGGGCCUGGCGUCAGGAGCAGAACUACCUGCGUUUCAAACCAGAUGCUGCUACUUACUAGGUGCCUGACGGUGGCAAAGUUCAUGACUGAUCUCAUCACGUGAGUCCUUCAAAGUGGAGAAUCAUUCCUGGCUGGGUCAGACAGGGGCAGGAGGAGUGAUUCAAAGUGUGAGAGGGACUUGGCCCACCCACCGAUGUUGGCUUUGAAGAUGGAGGAAGGGGACCAGGAGCCAAGGACUGUGAGUGGCCUCUAGAAACUGAGAAUGGCCCCCAGAUGACAACCAGCAAAAAACAGUGACCUUGGUCCUACAACCUCAAGGAGUUGAAUUUUCUUACAACCCAAAUGAACAAGGAAACAGACGGUCCCCUAGAGCCUACAGAAGGGAUUGUGGCCCUGCUGAAACCUUGAGCUUAAGCUGGUGAGACCCACGUUGGACUAAUAACCUACAGAAUUGCAAGGCUAGGGAAGACCAGACUUGGGAUCAAGCUGACACCUUGGAAGCCUGAGUGAAGAGACUGGAAAAUCAUUGGGCUGCUGUUGAGGUUGGACCCUUGGAUUCCGCCCUACCUGAAUUUGAUCUACCCCUGGGCUCUUCCAUUAUGUGAACCAAGAAUUUAUCUUUAUUAAGCCAGUUUGAUCUGGACUUUGUUACUCAUUUAAUAGAAAUAACAGAAAGCAUCCUAGCAGACAGACUGCACAAGCAAAUCUGGGGGAACAUUCUUAAUACAUCUGCAUAAGCAAUUAGAACAUGAAUAAUUCCUAUUUGAACUUCAAUACAUUCUUCUAUUAAAGAUGUGUUAUUAGAAUAUUAUAGAACAAGAAUGUACG
Long non-coding RNA from Equus asinus (donkey), 1637 nucleotides. Lineage: Eukaryota; Metazoa; Chordata; Mammalia; Perissodactyla; Equidae. The record is from Ensembl.